AAAAAUAGAAAAAAAAUCAUGCUAAGUCAAGAACCUAAAAAACAACUUGGGAAAAAAAUAGGACAUCCCAGUGGAAUAAAAAAUCAAAAGAGUGGUCCAGGAAAAAGUUAGGGAUAAAAAAAGCAAAGAAUUGGAAAAGGGUCACUAAAAUUCUUGACAAAAACAAAAAUUUUGUCACUACCAAACAAAAGUGGGUGAC
Molecule: long non-coding RNA, 199 nt
Filed under: Lathyrus oleraceus (garden pea)
Lineage: Eukaryota; Viridiplantae; Streptophyta; Magnoliopsida; Fabales; Fabaceae
Description: Pisum sativum (pea) long non-coding RNA (PSAT_LNC021930)
Source: RNAcentral